RNAcentral lists this small nucleolar RNA (290 nucleotides) under Huiozyma naganishii CBS 8797. Lineage: Eukaryota; Fungi; Ascomycota; Saccharomycetes; Saccharomycetales; Saccharomycetaceae. The record is from RNAcentral.
AGGGCCCUCAAACACAUUUCAAACUGCUCAAACAGUAGACGCUUUUUAACUUCUGUUCCAAUUUCAAAGGUUUGCCAAUCUGCUUCCUCCGACGAGAGUUCUUCUCGAUGGAGGGCCGGUGGAAUGACUUACUGGGAUCCGAUGGUUGAAUUGCAGUCUGCGCUUACUCCCAUGCAAGGAGAAAUAAGCUCGAGUGGCCCAUAACCGUAAUUCAUUUUACACGCCCUUUUCGCUAACAAUGACUGCUUUUUUCCACAGUACAUAGUUUGAUAGUAGAUGGGCGGACAUUC